Long non-coding RNA from Portunus trituberculatus (swimming crab), 714 nucleotides. RefSeq lists it as uncharacterized. The transcript has 4 exons. NCBI's taxonomy places the organism in Eukaryota, Metazoa, Arthropoda, Malacostraca, Decapoda, Portunidae. The record is from RefSeq and is a predicted model, not a curated record.
CGCGUCUCGGGCAGCAUGUCACUGAUGUCAGACGUGAAUCACGUGAUACAACUCCUCAGCGACUUGGUGUUGUUUUGCGCAUUCAGUACUUACUUCCUGUUGGGGCGCCGCCGAUCAGCAAACACUAAAAGGAAGGAUGGCGGCAUGGGUGACCAGAGUGGUGGUGACGGCGAUGAAGGAGGGCGGGCGACGUCCCUGUCAUAGCUAUGGAGGAAGCAUUCGCGAGGCGGGGGGCGGUAUGGGCAAGAGGGCGGUAGCGAAGGAGGAACAGUACUUCUGGGAGGAGGAAAGACGUCAGAUCGCACAACUUCGAGAGGAACUAAAGAAAGGUCGGUUAGACUCCAAGUUGCAAUGCAAGGAUCAGCUGGAGGAGAUGGUGAUACGGCAGAGGGAACAGAUAGCAGAGCACCAGCGACGGGUACAGUAUCACAAAGAAGAGAUAGAGAUGCACCACAAGGAAUAUGAACAUCAUCUUGAGAGAAUCGCUUACCACAAAGACAAGGAACAUAAGAUACGGGAAAAGAUGAACAAGCUAAAUGAGAAGGAGGAAGAACAUUGAAUGUUUAUCUAGGUUUCUCUUCGUUGUUGAUUAUGUAUUUAUUAAAAAAAAAAAAAGGUGCACGUUUUUAAGUAUGUUUUUCUUGGUUUAUCUUGCGUAGUAAUUAUGUACAGAAAAAAAAUGUUAUGUUAUUAAAAGGAAGAUGACCAAAUGAG